This is a non-coding RNA of Oryctolagus cuniculus (rabbit), 763 nucleotides long. Lineage: Eukaryota; Metazoa; Chordata; Mammalia; Lagomorpha; Leporidae. The record is from RefSeq and is a predicted model, not a curated record.
CACAGAAUGACUAAUGUCAGUGAAGGAAGUCAUGGCCAUAGGAGAGCUUUCUUAGGAGUUUCAGGAAACAAGUAAUAAACGAAUAAAGUUACUGAAAAUUUUAGCAUGAAGGCUAAUGCAAGAUUUGGGUGGUAGUUGCUAGAGAGGUGUAUUAGGUCUAUGUAUUGUGAUUUAAUCUUGUAAAGGAGUCAAAAUGUUUUCUGUAAUAAAUAUGCCAAUUGUUAUGUUAAUUCCACUCUGUCACAAACACACUCUUCUAUAUUCUGCUCUGUGACACUGGAGUUGGAACUCUGCAGCCUAUUCUCAUUUGCUAGGCAUUUGGUACAUUCUGCCAGGAGGGGGAACUAGAGAGGGAACAGGAGGCCCGAGGAAAGGAAAAGGGAUUUGCUAUUUCCUAUUUGCUUGCUGUUCACUUUGAUGUCUCCACAGUGACAAAGCUUCUCCUGGCACUGGAUGUUGGAUGAUAUGUGAAAUGAUGUUUUACUCCACUAUGAGCUUAUCUACAUCUUACUAAAGCAUCUAAGGAAUUUCUUCUUCCUCUUCAUCAGGUCAUGUCAGCCAUAUACCAAUGCACCGGACUAGUGGAAUGUGUGACAUGCUAAGACACAAAAAUCUCUACCAAUCUUGUGACAGAGAGCAGGAAAAUCAGUUUGACCUUAGGCAACAACAUGAACGUGUACUGUUGAUCCUGACAGGAAAAACCAAAUUGCCUUUAGUGUUUUUGCAGAUAUUAUAGAAGAGUAAAGCACUUUCUGGAUAACAA